AGGACGAACGCUGGCGGCGUGCUUAACACAUGCAAGUCGAGCGGAAAGGCCUUUCGGGGUACUCGAGCGGCGAACGGGUGAGUAACACGUGAGUAAUCUGCCCAUCGCUUCAGGAUAGCCAUCGGAAACGGUGAUUAAUACUGGAUAUGACAUUCCUUCGCAUGUUGGGUGUGGUAAGUUUUUCGGCGGUGGAUGUGCUCGCGGCCUAUCAGUCUUGUUGGUGGGGUAAUGGACCUACCAAGGCUUCGGACGGGUAGCCGGCCUGGAGGAGGGUCGACCGGCCACGACGUGGGACUGACGACCACCGGCCCAGACCUCCGUACGGGAGCGAGCGAGGUGGGAAUAGUUGGACAAGUGGGCGGAAGCCUAGGACUCCGAGCCGAACCGGCCGG
Molecule: ribosomal RNA, 392 nt
Filed under: uncultured soil bacterium
Lineage: Bacteria
Description: bacterial SSU rRNA
Rfam family: Bacterial small subunit ribosomal RNA
Source: RNAcentral